AGUUAGACACUGUUGGGAUACUGGACAGUCAACAGUUCUCUUGUGAUCAUCAAAACACUUGGCGCAAUAUAAUCAUCAAGUAAUUAAAUAAUAAUUAAAAAAAAAAAAAUACACGUUCAUGAAUCGUCAAUUAAAAAAAAAAACAAAGAUUGUGUGUAUAGUCAUUAAAUAUAUUUAUAAAUUUUUUUUUCCACGUCAACUGUCAAGAUGAAAGUGACUGUGGAUAGAUGUUGUUGUUUUAAUAUUAGAAUUGGCAGCAUCAUUAUUGCUGGUUUCACAAUUGUUGGUUCAUUCAUCGUAGGUAUUUUUAUGAUAUAUGAUGGUACUUAUGGAUCAGCUUGUGCUCCAAUUGAAAAUAUUAUUUUUUCAUGUUUUCUUUUAAAAGGAAUAUAUCGAGCAAGAAAAACCACUGUACAUGCUGCCUUGGUUAUGUAUAACUUUUAGUGCUAUAUUGCUUGGCCCUACAGAGAUUGUCUAUGUAAUUGAAUAUUCAAUUUUCAGUACCCAAUUUCUUGUUCAUGAUUUGGUUUCUAUAUUAAUUAUAAUAACUGUUUGUGGUAUUGUAAUAGCAGCAUUUCUUGUUGUCUAUAGUCAUUUUAAAGAACUUCUAAUGCCAAAAAAUCGUGUACUUGAUUCUGGUGGUGCAGAUCCAGUCUACACUAUUCUUCCAUAAUUUUAUUGUAUAACAAUUAACAAUAUCAUUUAAUAAAUUGGUUUGCACUUAUUAACUUAAUCAUUGAGUUAAAAAUAUUAUUAUUAUGUUGAAGAUAAAUCAAUUAAUUUAAAUAAAUUCUAUCAUUUUUUAUGAAACAAUUUUUGAGUUAUUUUUCAAAGUGUUGAUAUCUUGUUUACUAAAAAAAUUUAUGCGUUAUAUAGUUUAAUUAAAUUUAAAAACAAAAUUAUGCUUUGAAUCAUUUCAAAUAUCGAUAUUUCAAUGUCCUAAGAGUUGUUAGAUAAAAAAAAAAGUAAAUCAUUGAAUUGAUCAUGUCGUAUGCAAUGUAAUUUAUCAGUAUGAAAGUAAAUAACAUUUUUAUCUCGGAAAAAUAUAUAGAAAAUAUUCAAAAAAAAAAUAUAAAAAACUUGUAAAAGUUGGUUCGAUUUGUGUAAAACUAGUUCAAAACUGUAAAUAAGAAAAUAACAAUAAAAUAUCAUUUUUUUUUUGUUUGUUGGUACUAACAAAAAAUAAAUAAAUAAUAAAUAAAUGUGUUAAAAUUUGAAAACAUUUAUUAUUAUUAUUUUUUAUGAGUUAUAUUAUUAACUUGAUGAUUGAUAGACGAAAAAAAAAUACAAACAAAAAUUGUAUCUAUUCAAAUGUCUUGAUAGCAAUAAAACAAUUCAUAUCAAAAAAUUUACCAAAAAAAAAGCUUUUUAACAAAUGAAAAAAUAAAAAGCUUUACAUAGUAAAAAAAUUUAAAAAAUUAUUUAUUAUAUUCGAAACACAGUAGUAUAACUUUAAACGUUAUUGGUUUAUUUUAUAUUUUGUAAAUCUUAUUUACAGUUUAAGUUUAUUGCAGUUUUUAUAUCUCAUCAGAGAAUAUAUAAAAUAAAAUAAAAUGUCACAUGAACGAGAAGAUACUCUCUCUCAAAAAGUAAAAUUUGUAAAUUACUUUUAGUGACAAUUAUAUACAGAUAAUUUGAAUAAUAUUCUUUGUGAGAUAAAAUAAACGAGUGAGAUAAAUAAAUAAAUUCCCAAAGGGACUAUUUGAAGAGUAAACCAACUGCAAAUGAAUUCCCUAGAGUAUCAUGGUUUAUCCAUAGUUAAUUAUUAAUACUUGGAGCACGAGGGUCAUCUCUAGAAAUUCCGAUUUGUAUCAAUUCCAACAGAAAAGCUAAUACACCUUCAACUAUAUAUCAACAAAUCUACAUAUUAUAUUUAUUUCUCUAAAUAUUUUAAAAUAACUUUUCAAGGUCAUUUGAUAAUUAAAAUUGAUAUUCCAAAAUUUUUUGAGGUCUUUUGUAUAAGAUUAUUAUUACUCUUAAAAUAUUCAUCAACUUUUUUAUUAUAUUUUGAUUUCUAAUGAGUUAUUUUUAGUGAAAAAAAAUUUAAUAACAAGUAGUUAUUUAGAUUAUUUGAUAUAGUCUUGUUGUUUAAAUUACAUAUAAUUAAUAAUUUAUCCUUGAAAAAAGGCAAAUGAAAUAAUAAAAUAUUUACAUUAAUUUGAAUGAAUUUUUUUUUUUUUUGUAAUAUUUGUAGUAGUUGAUUAUUGAAAUAAAAAGAAUAAUAAUAUCUUAUCAUAAAUCAAUCAAUGCCAAGGGCAUCUUGGUAAGUAAAUUGUCCAAGUUAAACACGCUAUAUUCAUAUACGAUCUAUAACCCUUCGUGUUUUUUAGCUUGGCCUUAAGUUGGACAUUUUCAUGUAAUAAAAAUGAUGACAGAAUAUUCAACAAAAUAUAUAUAAUCACUUAUCAUAUCGUUUCCGGUCUACUUGAGAUAUCUAUUUACGAUAAUAUAUUUUAUAAAAUAAAAAACUAUAUGUAUAUAAUUAAAUAUGAAAUAAUAGUAAUUUAUAUUUAAAAAAAUAAAAUAAAAUAAGGAUAAAAUUACCAAUCAAUAAAUCAAUAUUACAUUGAUAAUAUUACUCAUCUAUUAUUUUUUCAAAAAACAUUUAAAUAAACCUUUUAAAUGAGGAAAAAUAAAAUAGAAAAAAAAAAAUUUUAUAUCAUUGUAUUUGUCAAGUUUAUUAUUUUUAUAGGUAUAAACUUUAAUAUCAUUUUAAUUAGUUCCGAUAUAAACAGACAUGGAAUUUAUACGCCCACAAAAUUUAUGAUUAUUUAAAAAUUUUUAUAGACACUUGUUUUAAAUACAUCCGAUUAAAUAUAUCUUGUAAAAUAUUUAUAAUAUUUAUUUACCGAAAAAAAAAAAAAAUAAACAACAUUAUCAUUAAAAAAAAAAAAACUAAUUAUCAAAUGUAUUAUGUGAUGAUUAAUUGUCUAUUACGAAUAUGAAUAAUUAUUCAAAAUUAUUUUAUGGAUAAUAAUAAUAUUUAUAAUUUGUUUUUCAUAUAAUAUUAUAUAAAAAUAAUAAUUGAAAAAUAAAUUGGAUAAUAAAUAAA
RNAcentral lists this unclassified non-coding RNA (3052 nucleotides) under Aphidius gifuensis. RNAcentral's name for it is "uncharacterized LOC122852270, transcript variant X1". Lineage: Eukaryota; Metazoa; Arthropoda; Insecta; Hymenoptera; Braconidae. The record is from RNAcentral.